GAUGAACGCUAGCUACAGGCUUAACACAUGCAAGUCGAGGGGUAACGAGAGGAAAGCUUGCUUUCCUUGUCGACGACCGGCGCACGGGUGAGUAACGCGUAUCCAACCUGCCCCCAACUAAGGAAUAACCUUGCGAAAGUAAGACUAAUACCUUAUAAUUUCCUCAGAUGUCAUCUGACGAGGAAUAAAGAUUUAUCGGUUGUGGAUGGGGAUGCGUCGGAUUAGCUUGGUGGCGGGGUAACGGCCCACCAAGGCAACGAUCAGUAGGGGUUCUGAGAGGAAGGUCCCCCACAUUGGAACUGAGACACGGUCCAAACUCCUACGGGAGGCAGCAGUGAGGAAUAUUGGUCAAUGGGCGAAAGCUUGAACCAGCCAAGUAGCGUGCAGGAUGACGGCCCUAUGGGUUGUAAACUGCUUUUAUACAGGAAUAAAGUUAGCCACGUGUGGUUAUUUGUAGGUACUGUAUGAAUAAGGACCGGCUAAUUCCGUGCCAGCAGCCGCGGUAA
RNAcentral lists this ribosomal RNA (506 nucleotides) under uncultured bacterium. RNAcentral's name for it is "partial 16S ribosomal RNA". It matches the Rfam family "Bacterial small subunit ribosomal RNA", at positions 28 to 523 of the family's 1533-position model. The record is from RNAcentral.